RNAcentral lists this ribosomal RNA (396 nucleotides) under uncultured Lactobacillus sp. Its description in RNAcentral is "bacterial SSU rRNA". It matches the Rfam family "Bacterial small subunit ribosomal RNA", at positions 408 to 796 of the family's 1533-position model. Lineage: Bacteria; Bacillati; Bacillota; Bacilli; Lactobacillales; Lactobacillaceae. The record is from RNAcentral.
AAGAAGGCUUUCGGGUCGUAAAACUCUGUUGUUGGAGAAGAAUGGUCGGCAGAGUAACUGUUGUCGGCGUGACGGUAUCCAACCAGAAAGCCACGGCUAACUACGUGCCAGCAGCCGCGGUAAUACGUAGGUGGCAAGCGUUAUCCGGAUUUAUUGGGCGUAAAGCGAGCGCAGGCGGUUUUUUAAGUCUGAUGUGAAAGCCCUCGGCUUAACCGAGGAACCCCAUCGGAAACUGGGAAACUUGAGUGCAGAAGAGGACAGUGGAACUCCAUGUGUAGCGGUGAAAUGCGUAGAUAUAUGGAAGAACACCAGUGGCGAAGGCGGCUGUCUGGUCUGUAACUGACGCUGAGGCUCGAAAGCAUGGGUAGCGAACAGGAUUAGAUACCCUGGUAGUCC